Molecule: non-coding RNA, 253 nt
Filed under: uncultured bacterium
Lineage: Bacteria
Also listed under: 1 other name
Description: partial 16S ribosomal RNA
Rfam family: Bacterial small subunit ribosomal RNA
Source: RNAcentral
UACGGAGGGUGCAAGCGUUAUCCGGAAUCACUGGGCGUAAAGGGCGCGUAGGCGGUUUAAGAAGUCCGAUGUUAAAGCGUGAGGCUCAACCUCAUCAAGGCGUUGGAUACUCUUAGGCUAGACUUCUGGAGAGGCAAGUGGAAUUACCAGUGUAGCGGUGGAAUGCGUAGAUACUGGUAGGAACACCCAUAGCGAAGGCAGCUUGCUGGACAGAGAGUGACGCUGAGGCGCGAAAGUGUGGGGAGCAAACCGG